GGUUGAUAAGGUGGAAUGGGAGUCGUCAGGCCUGGUAGUGAUCGGCAAAUUUGAUGUGGACGACGUGGUCAAGGCGAUGAAUUGCCACCACAGUGUUCUUCGUUCCAUCGAGAACAAUUACGAGCCCCCAAAGAAGAAGGAAGAGAAGAAGGAAGAGAAGGGGGGCAGUAGCGUUUUGUAUGUUUACGCCCACAACUACAAUCACUACAAUUGGAAGUGAAUUUGUUCUUCUAAUUGCUCUGCAAGAACAAGGGUGUGUAUGAAAUAAUUUCAAGAGUUUCAAAUCUAGAAGAGCACUGAAUUUGACAGAGCAUUUAAUUGUCAGAAUCAUAUCUGAUGUAAGGUUUUCAAAAGUUAGAUCUUUCUAUCUAUUUUUGUUGGUCCCAAUCGUGAAACUGAUGAAUGCAAAAGACUUUGCAUAGCACAAAUGCCGGUGCACGUCGCCGUAGUCAAGGCUAUACUUCUAGAUUCAGUGACAGGAAGAAUCUCACAGCGAGGGAGAGAGAGAGAGAGAGAACAAAGGGCCCAAGAUAAGAACAACCUUUUGUUUAAUGUCUAUAUCACCUUGCGGAAUUUCAUGGGAGAUUCGGCGCCAAAAAGUUACAACAUAAAAAAAAAGGUAAAGUCUUUUUGGAAACGCAGGGGUGGUGAAGUGGAAUCGGAGAGAGGAGAAGAAGGAACAGUCUCUGAUCAUGAAGUUCGUCUCUUCGCUUUCCCACGGUGCCACGCAAUGUGUUGGAAUAGUGGCAACGACCACUUCAAGUAGGGAAUCACCCAUGCCCGGAGGCUUGCUGCUGUAUGAUUUGCUGCUCAACUUGGAAAUUCAGUUCUGGGUUCAAACGCGACAACCUUUUGCAGGCUUUGAUGAAUCGGUCUCUCAUAAGAAGAAUAGACAGUUAAAGUUGCAACACAGCGGAUCUAGACGUGUGGAAUUUUCUUCUGCAUUAUGUCGUCUUUGACUAUUCGCUGAAAUCGCGAGGAAUUUGGUGGUGACGCGUCGUCCUACAAAGACUGUACCGUAGAAUCAAGCUAUAAAAACCGCAAACGUGAGCAGCAAGGCAUCUCGCAGCGUAUUUCUCGAUUUUCUGGCACAUCUUGAGCGAGCAACUCCAGUUUCCUUUCCUUGUAAGCAUGAAGAAGGCGACACUCUCAACUUGUGAAAACUGCAAGGGGAAGACUGACGCGCUCAAGAAGAUCAAAGGUAUAGCACAAUCUUUGCAUUGGAUCGCGGCCCUGAUUCCAUGAAAUCUCUGGUGCGGUUUUCCCAAUAGGGGUCGAUAAGGUGGAAUCGGAGUCGUCAGGCUGGUGGUGAUUGGAAAAUUUGAUGUGGACGACGUGCUAAAGGCGAUGGAUUGCCACCACAGUGUCCUUCGUUCCAUCGAGAACAAUUACGAGCCCCCCAAAAAGAAGGAAGCAGGCUCUAGCGUUAUAUAUGUGUACACCCACACCUACAACCAGUGGAAAACGUAUGAAACUAAAAAACGUAACGUUUUAAACGCGUUAAAAAACGCCGUUCUAAACUCCCAACGAGUUUGCACUAUUUGCGAAAAGAGACAAAGGUUUCUUUAGGGUUUCUUCAGAACUUCAUAAGGGAUCUCCCUCAUUGCUUUGCACGUUUUCACACCUCUUGCCCAAACUCCAGCACUCGCUCCGCUCCCCCAGUGUGAAUCUCAUGACAAUACUUACAUGUCCAGUGCCGCUCUGCUUGUAUCACAUGCUUCCAGCUCCAGCAUUCGUGGCGUCCUCCAAUUCCUGCCAUGAACCCUUAAAAAACCUCGCAGCAGUUUUUCCGAUUUCGAGCUAGCAGACCCAGCAGAUGCCGAUGAUGGGCAUCUGCUGCAGCAAGCCGCACAGGGUUCAGGGGGGCCAGCAGAAUCUAUGGUGGCAAGCACGGAGAACUGGUCCAGUGCUGAGACAAGCAGAUCAGCGAAACGGCUUCUUCUUUCAUUUGUUUUAGUAUGUUAUUCGGUUGGGUUUUAUAAACUUAAUAUUANNNNNNNNNNNNNNNNNNNNNNNNNNNNNNNNNNNNNNNNNNNNNNNNNNNNNNNNNNNNNNNNNNNNNNNNNNNNNNNNNNNNNNNNNNNNNNNNNNNNNNNNNNNNNNNNNNUUUGAACGUUUGCACGUCUAGCUGCAACUAUGACUGGAAGUGAGUUAAAUAGUGUUUGUGUGUAAAAAUAGAUUUUCUCUUCCACCUCAAAUUCUUGAAUGUGGAAUUCAUGGGAGUGAAGCCAAUUUCGAAAGUUGAUGUCUCAAUCAAGGGCAUUAAUUUAUCUCGGUUCAGAGUUCAAAAGUGAAUCUAAAACAUUGAUCCCACAGAAAGAAGAAAGAAAACGCACUGGUGCAUUUGACUGUAAAGGAAUGUGGUUCAUUCUUCACCUUGAACUUUGAGGAGAUUAAUUCUCUUCCUAAGAGUUUGAAAAUGAACGUGCGUCAUCACAUUUUAAAGAGUGGAACUCUGAAAAAAACCAUUUGUUUUAUUCCUCUCAACAGGAGGAGACUUGAACGAAGUCACUUUUCAAUUGCAGGAUAAAAAUGAUGUUUUGACGAAGUGAGUUCUUUACUAGAGCUGAGAGCCACAGUAUCAAACUAGAUUUAAUUUGUUUAGAAGAAUGUAUAAUGCUAUUCAAGCUUCAAAGUUUAGAAAAAUGGUCCGUGAACGUACACUGACCUUUCAAUCUUACCAUGGAUUUAAGCGAUCAAUGUAAGCUUCUUUGGUCUCCCAGCUAGAAUGGAUUUGACAAAGUUGAUGGCCAGUCGCGAUUGUGGUCCUUCUGGGUAAAAGUUUAAGUCAAGGACGCUUCUUUGGUCUCCCAGCAUGGGUUUUGUCAGCGAUUUCAAAAAGCUGCAACUCAUCAAAUGACGUCAAAUGUGAGGCACGAGAAAGGGAAGCCCAUGUGAAAGUCCAGUGUAUGCUCUGAAAACUUUCUAUACAAUGCAAGAGAGAAGCUUUGAAAUGGUCUUCGAUUUGGCAAUUUAGCGGUGGCUAAACUGUAGAAUCCAGCUAUAAAAACCGCCACAAAGUUCGAACGUGAGCAGCAAGGCAUCUCGCAGCGUGUUCUUCGGAGUUGCAAAGUCUCAGCAAAGGUUCAAGAAAAAAUCUCGAUCCAUUUUUCCUCCUUUUGCAAGCAUGAAGAAGGUGACACUCUCAACUUGUGGGAGCUGCGAGGGAAAGACUGAUGCGCUUAAGAAGAUCAAAGGUAUGUGGAUUGGAAAUUUGAAAGCUGAUAUCGUUUCUUGUUUUUGAACAACAGGGGUUGAUAAGGUGGAAUGGGAGUCGUCAAGCCUGGUAGUGAUCGGCAAAUUUGAUGUGGACGACGUGGUCAAGGCGAUGGAUUGCCACCACAGCAUUCUUCGUUCUGUCGAGAACGAUUAUGAGCCCCCAAAGAAGGACAAGGAGAAGAAGGGCGGUGGUUCUAGCGUUGUAUAUGUUUACACCCACACCUACAAUCACUACAAUUGCAAGUGAACUUCAGGAGUUUCUGAUCUAAAAGCCAAGUUCUUAGGGUUUCUUAUUUCGCAUACUUUAGUUUAAAAUUUAACCCUCAAUUUAACGUAAGG
RNAcentral lists this long non-coding RNA (3558 nucleotides) under Selaginella moellendorffii. RNAcentral describes it as "long non-coding RNA (SMOE_LNC001501)". The record is from RNAcentral. Lineage: Eukaryota; Viridiplantae; Streptophyta; Lycopodiopsida; Selaginellales; Selaginellaceae.